UGGCCUUGACAUACUAAGAACUUUCCAGAGAUGGAUUGGUGCCUUCGGGAACUUAGAUACAGGUGCUGCAUGGCUGUCGUCAGCUCGUGUCGUGAGAUGUUGGGUUAAGUCCGCAACGAGCGCAACCCUUUUCCUUAUUUGCCAGCGGGUAAUGCCGGGAACUUUAAGGAUACUGCCAGUGACAAACUGGAGGAAGGCGGGGACGACGUCAAGUCAUCAUGGCCCUUACGGCCAGGGCUACACACGUGCUACAAUGGUCGGUACAAAGGGUUGCUACCUCGCGAGAGGAUGCUAAUCUCAAAAAAGCCGAUCGUAGUCCGGAUCGCAGUCUGCAACUCGACUGCGUGUAGUCGGAAUCGCUAGUAAUCGCGGAUCAGAAUGCCGCGGUGAAUACGUUCCCGGGCCUUGUACACACCGCCCGUCACACCAUGGGAGUUUGUUGCACCAGAAGUAGGUAGUCUAACCGCAAGGAGGACGCUUACCACGGUGUGGCCGAUGACUGGGGUGAAGUCGUAACAAGGUAGGCGUAGAUGA
This 534-nucleotide ribosomal RNA is filed under the name uncultured bacterium. RNAcentral describes it as "bacterial SSU rRNA". It matches the Rfam family "Bacterial small subunit ribosomal RNA", at positions 976 to 1509 of the family's 1533-position model. The record is from RNAcentral.